AUGCGCUCCAAGGCGACGCCUUCAGAAAGGAUACGACGCCGGAGCGCCGCCAUCGCCCGAUCCAAGGAUCAGAGUUUCCCCCAGAGCCGCAUGACGGGCAAUGAGAGCCGCGACGACGCCUUCAAGAAGGGAACGAUCUUCCCCGCCGCAGGUCCGUCCGAAGAUAGAGCAGGUUUUCACCUCGGCCAACAAUCAUCGCCACCGAACGCCACAACCCGGCAACCACGCCGCCCACACGACCAUGAUGACCGGGCAGCACCAAGGCACGGGCUUUGUCCAAGAGCACCGCGCAACCACCACCACCAGGGCCGCCGCCCCAGCAUCCAAGACCUCGACAUCACCUCACCCGUGACCCGCCGCACCCCACCUUUCGCACCCCUGGGCGACCACCAGCGUCGAGACCCAAUAGGUCGGCCAGAACUGGUAUCCACCGACCCAUCCUGCUGCCCCAAGCGCGAGAUGAGCUCGGUCCUGCAGCAAUGA
RNAcentral lists this ribosomal RNA (483 nucleotides) under Triticum aestivum (bread wheat). RNAcentral's name for it is "partial small subunit ribosomal RNA". Lineage: Eukaryota; Viridiplantae; Streptophyta; Magnoliopsida; Poales; Poaceae. The record is from RNAcentral.